This 28-nucleotide non-coding RNA is filed under the name Mus musculus (house mouse). The record is from RNAcentral. Lineage: Eukaryota; Metazoa; Chordata; Mammalia; Rodentia; Muridae.
UGUGGCCAGCAAUUUUGAAUCUUAUUGC